GAUGAACGCUGGCGGCGUGCCUAAUACAUGCAAGUCGAGCGAACAGACGAGGAGCUUGCUCCUCUGACGUUAGCGGCGGACGGGUGAGUAACACGUGGAUAACCUACCUAUAAGACUGGGAUAAAUUCGGGAAACCGGAGCUAAUACCGGAUAACAUGUUGAACCGCAUGGUUCAACAGUGAAAGACGGUCUUGCUGUCACUUAUAGAUGGAUCCGCGCCGCAUUAGCUAGUUGGUAAGGUAACGGCUUACCAAGGCAACGAUGCGUAGCCGACCUGAGAGGGUGAUCGGCCACACUGGAACUGAGACACGGUCCAGACUCCUACGGGAGGCAGCAGUAGGGAAUCUUCCACAAUGGGCGAAAGCCUGACGGAGCAACGCCGCGUGAGUGAAGAAGGUCUUCGGAUCGUAAAACUCUGUUAUUAGGGAAGAACAAAUGUGUAAGUAACUAUGCACGUCUUGACGGUACCUAAUCAGAAAGCCACGGCUAACUACGUG
Molecule: ribosomal RNA, 497 nt
Filed under: uncultured bacterium
Lineage: Bacteria
Description: partial 16S ribosomal RNA
Rfam family: Bacterial small subunit ribosomal RNA
Source: RNAcentral